GGCGUGGCUAAUACUGCAAGUCGAGCGAAUCGACGGGAGCUUGCUCCCUUAGAUUAGCGGCGGACGGGUGAGUAACACGUGGGUAACCUGCCUAUAAGACUGGGAUAACUUCGGGAAACCGGAGCUAAUACCGGAUAAUUUCUUCCCUCGCAUGAGGGAAGAUGGAAAGACGGUUCUGCUGUCACUUAUAGAUGGACCCGCGGCGCAUUAGCUAGUUGGUGAGGUAAUGGCUCACCAAGGCGACGAUGCGUAGCCGACCUGAGAGGGUGAUCGGCCACACUGGGACUGAGACACGGCCCAGACUCCUACGGGAGGCAGCAGUAGGGAAUCUUCCGCAAUGGACGAAAGUCUGACGGAGCAACGCCGCGUGAACGAAGAAGGCCUUCGGGUCGUAAAGUUCUGUUGUUAGGGAAGAACAAGUACCAGAGUAACUGCUGGUACCUUGACGGUACCUAACCAGAAAGCCACGGCUAACUACGUGCCAGCAGCCGCGGUAAUACGUAGGUGGCAAGCGUUGUCCGGAAUUAUUGGGCGUAAAGCGCGCGCAGGUGGUUCUUUAAGUCUGAUGUGAAAGCCCACGGCUCAACCGUGGAGGGUCAUUGGAAACUGGGGAACUUGAGUGCAGAAGAGGAAAGU
RNAcentral lists this ribosomal RNA (636 nucleotides) under Bacillus sp. (in: firmicutes). Its description in RNAcentral is "bacterial SSU rRNA". It matches the Rfam family "Bacterial small subunit ribosomal RNA", at positions 41 to 662 of the family's 1533-position model. Lineage: Bacteria; Bacillati; Bacillota; Bacilli; Caryophanales; Bacillaceae. The record is from RNAcentral.